RNAcentral lists this ribosomal RNA (408 nucleotides) under uncultured bacterium. RNAcentral's name for it is "bacterial SSU rRNA". It matches the Rfam family "Bacterial small subunit ribosomal RNA", at positions 28 to 435 of the family's 1533-position model. The record is from RNAcentral.
GACGAACGCUGGCGGCGCGCUUAACACAUGCAAGUCGAGCGAGAACCAGGGCUUCGGCUCUGGGGACAGCGGCGAACGGGUGAGUAACACGUGGGUAACCUGCCCUCGGCACCGGAAUAGCCCGGGGAAACCCGGAUUAAUGCUGGAUAGCCUCACAGAUCUUCGGAUUUGUGAGAAAAGGUGGCUUCGGCUUCCGGCUGAGGAUGGGCCCGCGGCCGAUUAGCUUGUUGGUGAGGUAACGGCNCACCAAGGCGACGAUCGGUAGCUGGUCUGAGAGGACGAUCAGCCACACUGGGACUGAGACACGGCCCAGACUCCUACGGGAGGCAGCAGUGGGGAAUCUUGCGCAAUGGGCGAAAGCCUGACGCAGCGACGCCGCGUGCGGGAAGAAGGCCUGGUGUAACGCUU